GAAAGAGAUUGAAGAGGCGAUAAAGAUUUUUAGCAGGCCAAAGGUGUACAUUGCUGAUGGCUGACAAGGUUGUUUGUAUAUGUUUUUUUUUUUUUUUUUUUUUU
This 104-nucleotide non-coding RNA is filed under the name Heterosigma akashiwo. The record is from RNAcentral. Lineage: Eukaryota; Raphidophyceae; Chattonellales; Chattonellaceae.